Molecule: ribosomal RNA, 253 nt
Filed under: uncultured bacterium
Lineage: Bacteria
Description: partial 16S ribosomal RNA
Rfam family: Bacterial small subunit ribosomal RNA
Source: RNAcentral
UACGGGGGGGGCAAGCGUUGUUCGGAAUUACUGGGCGUAAAGAGCUCGUAGGCGGCCUGUCGCGUCGGAUGUGAAAGCCCGGGGCUUAACCCCGGGUCUGCAUUCGAUACGGGCAGGCUAGAGUGUGGUAGGGGAGAUCGGAAUUCCUGGUGUAGCGGUGAAAUGCGCAGAUAUCAGGAGGAACACCGGUGGCGAAGGCGGAUCUCUGGGCCAUUACUGACGCUGAGGAGCGAAAGCGUGGGGAGCGAACAGG